RNAcentral lists this ribosomal RNA (292 nucleotides) under uncultured prokaryote. RNAcentral's name for it is "partial 16S ribosomal RNA". It matches the Rfam family "Bacterial small subunit ribosomal RNA", at positions 505 to 796 of the family's 1533-position model. The record is from RNAcentral.
GUGCCAGCCGCCGCGGUAAUACGUAGGUGGCAAGCGUUAUCCGGAAUUAUUGGGCGUAAAGCGCGCGCAGGCGGUUUCUUAAGUCUGAUGUGAAAGCCCACGGCUCAACCGUGGAGGGUCAUUGGAAACUGGGGAACUUGAGUGCAGAAGAGAAAAGCGGAAUUCCACGUGUAGCGGUGAAAUGCGUAGAGAUGUGGAGGAACACCAGUGGCGAAGGCGGCUUUUUGGUCUGUAACUGACGCUGAGGCGCGAAAGCGUGGGGAGCAAACAGGAUUAGAUACCCCCGUAGUCC